This 352-nucleotide ribosomal RNA is filed under the name uncultured bacterium. RNAcentral's name for it is "bacterial SSU rRNA". It matches the Rfam family "Bacterial small subunit ribosomal RNA", at positions 446 to 793 of the family's 1533-position model. The record is from RNAcentral.
AGUGUCGUUAAUAGCGGCAUUUCUUGACGUUAGCGACAGAAGAAGCACCGGCUAACUCCGUGCCAGCAGCCGCGGUAAUACGGAGGGUGCGAGCGUUAAUCGGAAUUACUGGGCGUAAAGCGCAUGCAGGUGGUUUGUUAAGUCAGAUGUGAAAGACCCGGGGCGUCAACCUCGGAAUAGCAUUUGAAACUGGCAGACUAGAGUACUGUAGAGGGGGGCGAGAAUUUCAGGUGUAGCGGUGAAAUGCGUAGAGAUCUGAAGGAAUACCGGUGGCGAAGGCGGCCCCCUCGGACAGAUACUGACACUCAGAUGCGAAAGCGUGGGGAGCAAACAGGAUUAGAUACCCUGGUAG